CACGUAGGGGGCGAGCGUUGUCCGGAUUUAUUGGGCGUAAAGAGCUCGUAGGCGGUGUGUCGCGUCGGCCGUGAAAACUUGCAGCUUAACUGUGGGCGUGCGGUCGAUACGGGCAUCACUGGAGUUCGGCAGGGGAGACUGGAAUUCCUGGUGUAGCGGUGAAAUGCGCAGAUAUCAGGAGGAACACCGGUGGCGAAGGCGGGUCUCUGGGCCGAUACUGACGCUGAGGAGCGAAAGCGUGGGGAGCGAACAGG
Molecule: ribosomal RNA, 254 nt
Filed under: uncultured bacterium
Lineage: Bacteria
Description: partial 16S ribosomal RNA
Rfam family: Bacterial small subunit ribosomal RNA
Source: RNAcentral